Molecule: ribosomal RNA, 253 nt
Filed under: uncultured bacterium
Lineage: Bacteria
Description: partial 16S ribosomal RNA
Rfam family: Bacterial small subunit ribosomal RNA
Source: RNAcentral
GACAGAGGCCCCAAGCGUUAGGCGGAAUCACUGGGCUUAAAGCGUGUGUAGGCGGAUCGUUAAGUGUCUUGUGAAAUCCCACGGCUCACCCGUGGAACUGCUGGGCAUACUGGCGAUCUUGGGCCAACUAGGGGCAGCCGGAACAAGCGGUGGAGCGGUGAAAUGCGUAGAUAUCGGGAGGAACACCUGUGGCGGAAGCGGCGCACUGGACCACAACUGACGCUGAGGCGCGAAAGCUAGGGGAGCAAACAGG